GCCGAGGUGGUGGAACUGGUAGACACGCUACUUUGAGGGGGUAGUGGGCGAAAGCCUGUGCGGGUUCGAGUCCCGCUCUCGGCA
This 84-nucleotide transfer RNA is filed under the name Candidatus Latescibacterota bacterium. RNAcentral's name for it is "tRNA-Leu". It matches the Rfam family "tRNA". From Rfam's summary of the family: Transfer RNA (tRNA) molecules are approximately 80 nucleotides in length. Their secondary structure includes four short double-helical elements and three loops (D, anti-codon, and T loops). Further hydrogen bonds mediate the characteristic L-shaped molecular structure. tRNAs have two regions of fundamental functional importance: the anti-codon, which is responsible for specific mRNA codon recognition, and the 3' end, to which the tRNAs corresponding amino acid is attached (by aminoacyl-tRNA synthetases). tRNAs cope with the degeneracy of the genetic code in two manners: having more than one tRNA (with a specific anti-codon) for a particular amino acid; and 'wobble' base-pairing, i.e. permitting non-standard base-pairing at the 3rd anti-codon position. RNAcentral also lists the same sequence under 1 other name. Lineage: Bacteria; Pseudomonadati; Candidatus Latescibacterota. The record is from RNAcentral.